UACCAGCACCCCGAGUGGUCGGGACGAUUAUUGGGCCUAAAGCAUCCGUAGCCGGUUCUACAAGUCUUCCGUUAAAUCCACCUGCUUAACAGAUGGGCUGCGGAGGAUACUAUGGAGCUAGGAGGCGGGAGAGGCAAGCGGUACCUAGUGGGUAGGGGUAAAAUCCGUUGAUCCAUUGAAGACCACCAGUGGCGAAGGCGGCUUGCCAGAACGCACUCGACGGUGAGGGAUGAAAGCUGGGGGAGCAAACCGG
This 253-nucleotide ribosomal RNA is filed under the name uncultured bacterium. RNAcentral's name for it is "partial 16S ribosomal RNA". It matches the Rfam family "Archaeal small subunit ribosomal RNA", at positions 474 to 727 of the family's 1478-position model. The record is from RNAcentral.